GUUAUUAUUAUUUAUUUUUUUUUAAAUCCAAUUUUUUUCAACUGCUUUUUUGAAUAGGCGACCUCUAUACGACAGGUUUCAAUGGAAUUGCGAAAGAUUUCUAUCAACCCUUUUGUCGUUUUUCUGCACAUUCAUGCUAGCCAUUUUCUAAAGUUUUUGGAAACAAUGAUUGCUUGGAAGAUUAAAGAAGGUUUCAUCUCACCAAAAAUCAUAAGAAUCGUCCAUUUUGCCGUAACAGAGUCCAGCGAUCAACACCUUCAAUUACAAAAAUUUCUGAAGUGGUGCAAAUUUCCCUGUCAUUUAUCAGUAGAUAAUUUGGUUAAUUGCAGUUUUUUUUUUUAUAUUGUGGAAAAAGAUUUUAAUUUUCUAAUAUACCUUCGCGCAGUAUCGUAAUUUCAUACUUUUUAUUAAAAUCGUAAGCUCAGUUGAUCAUCUAUUUUACUUCGCUUCCAUCUUCCCGCAUUGGCCUAUUAACAAGGUAAAUGGAUUUGUUUUUGAUAUUGUCUAUAUUCCUUCCUUUACUAAAUUUUGUAUUCUCAGAAAUUAAUACGCAAUAUCAUUUGGUUUGUCAGGUAUUUAUCGUAACUUCGUAUGGAAGGAGAGAACCGAAAUUGGAACAACUGUGCUGCAAUCACAUGUGCUUUAUCCUCACUCAUUUUUUAUGAUCAUUAUUGUUGUUCCACAUCAUAAUUCGUCCCAACAUACCUAGGCUUGAUCAUUGGUUUCAUUUAGCAACGAUUAGUAGUGAGUAAAUAAGCUAGAGAAGAGCUACGAAAAAAAUAAGGAAAGACGGUACAGCGUUGUCGUGUACAAAAAUCUGCAAUUUCCAUCAUAAAAUUCUCAAAACUAAAGCAAAAAUGCAAGCGGAAAUCUACAUAUAUACAUAAACUAGAAUGUGACCGAAAAUUGGAAUGGCGACAAAAUGAUAUUUAAUUCUGCAAAAGAAAUAGUUCCCACGUUCGAAAUAUUAAGAAAAAACUCAAGCGAAACAACUCAAACAUACAACGACCCAACAUGCAUGACACAACAAUUUCAAUUAUCACAGUCUCUUACGUCUGAAUUAUCCGCAUCUCUUAUUACAUGCACAUUUACACCAUUAAGCUGUUGUUGCUGUAACUUCAUCUCUGAGAAAGUACUUUCAACGAGGGAGCAUAUCAACAAAGCACGUAAGUCAUUAACCUCUUAUUUUGAUUUUUUUUUGGUGAGAAUACGAUA
This is a long non-coding RNA of Musca domestica (house fly), 1215 nucleotides long. RefSeq lists it as uncharacterized. The transcript is spliced from 3 exons. Lineage: Eukaryota; Metazoa; Arthropoda; Insecta; Diptera; Muscidae. The record is from RefSeq and is a predicted model, not a curated record.